Molecule: long non-coding RNA, 690 nt
Organism: Manis pentadactyla (Chinese pangolin)
Lineage: Eukaryota; Metazoa; Chordata; Mammalia; Pholidota; Manidae
Exons: 3
Source: RefSeq, a predicted model, not a curated record
CUUUUUCUGUCUUAUUCAAACCAUAAUCCUAGCACCUAGCACCAGGCCUGACACAGAAGGUUUAAACAGGAUAUAUUUUUCCUAUAAAACUGGAUAUAAAGACUCACUUGGAAAUAUUUGGUGAAGAAGGAUGAAGAUAAAUAUCCAAUCACAUGGCUGAUGAAUUCCACAUAUUAGAAGUUUCUUGUGUAUGGGAACUAUCAUUCUGGCUUCCAGAGGAAUCGAAGGGGCCUCGCAGUCCCAGUGCAAUCCCAGCCGCCUUCCAGCGCUCACAAUCAAGAUACAAGUCUCCAGAGGGCUUGGCUCCACGCGGUCAUUAGACAUGAUGGCAUUCCUGGCAUGCUGGGGCCGCACGCUCUGUCCUCCCAAAUAAACGGUUCUCUUACAGCUUCACACUAUGCGUUACUCCUUCUAUUAACACAGGAGCUGACAGAUUGGCUGAGAAGCUGCAACUAAUAUAUUUGAGGACAUAAGAGAUGAUUGUGCUGGUUCUAAUUCCAGAGCCGAUCUUUUUAGCAGAUUAUGAUGGAUGACCCGCCACGGUGGUCAGUGCCUCCUGUAUAUUUUAGGCGGAAUGCUUUCUUUUGACACAUACUUUACAGAGACAUAUGUGUACCCUAUUUUAAUUAAUGGAAGAAAUGAUUCAUUCACAAGUGAAAGAUUUAAUUAAAUAAAGGGUCAGCCUGGGUC